This 357-nucleotide long non-coding RNA is filed under the name Mytilus galloprovincialis (Mediterranean mussel). The record is from RNAcentral. Lineage: Eukaryota; Metazoa; Mollusca; Bivalvia; Mytilida; Mytilidae.
GCCUGUCCCAAGUCAGGAGCCUGUAAUUCAGUGGUUGUCGUUUGUUUAUGUGUUACAUAUUUGUUUUUCGUUCAUUUGUUUUUUUUUUUUACAUUAAUAAGGCCUUAAGUUUUCUCGUUUGAAUUGUUUUACAUUGUCUAAUCGGGGCCUUUUAUAGCUGACUAUGCGGUAUGGGCUUUGUUCAUUGUUGAAAGCCUUAAGGUGACUUAUAGUUGUUAAUGUCUGUGUCAUUUUGGUCUUUUGUGGAUAGUUGUCUCAUUGCAAUCAUACCACAUCAUUGGCAAUCAUACCACAUCUUCUUUUUUAUAUAUAAUUUACACCUUAACAGUAUAUUAUACAAUGAUGAUUGUGGCAAAG